Molecule: RNA transcript, 483 nt
Organism: Pyrus x bretschneideri (Chinese white pear)
Lineage: Eukaryota; Viridiplantae; Streptophyta; Magnoliopsida; Rosales; Rosaceae
Exons: 3
Source: RefSeq, a predicted model, not a curated record
UGUUAGGCACUAUGUUUCACUGAAAUUCAAGACGAAGGUGAAGGCGAUAUCUGUAUCCUUCUACACAUGCAUUUUGGAAAGUUUGAUGAUUCGCCUAUAUUUCGUCAACUGAAGAGUUCCUACCGUCAAAUUAUAACUAAGACUGCGACAGCUGCUGCUCCACCAUCAUUUCUAAAAAAUUAGGACCCGGUCUGCCGACAAUUUUCAACUGUCAUUUUAUUUAACUUUCUGUAAGCCCUUUUAUUGUUCUGAUCUUUAGCAAGAUGAUCCUUUAACAAAUCCAACUGUCAUUUGUUCACAUUAACUUCCAUUUUUCCAUUUCUAACAGAUAAAUGAAAACAUCUACUAGCAGAAGAAACUGAAGAAACAAAUCCAUUAGAUUAAAGAAGCUCAGAACUACUCAUUGUUUCUUAUCUUAGAUAGGGUUGUAAAUAGAUUUAUAUAAGCAUUAUGGCUUAUCAUUUAUAUUUAAAACUUUCUACA